This 256-nucleotide unclassified non-coding RNA is filed under the name Hevea brasiliensis (rubber tree). The record is from RNAcentral. Lineage: Eukaryota; Viridiplantae; Streptophyta; Magnoliopsida; Malpighiales; Euphorbiaceae.
AAAAAAUAGUCUACCUUUAAGGAUAUUUUAAUAAUUUCUUAGAUAAUAAUAGAAAAUUAAAUUGAUGGACUUUUAGUUUGAUGGAGUUAAAAUAAAAGGAUUACCGUUGAUUUUUAAAAAUUGAAAGACAUAUAUAUUAAUUUUAACGCAAAUAAAAAAAAGAAUGAAUAAUUUAUUCAAAAAUUAAAGAAUAAAGGGAUUUGCUUACUCAUAGUGUGUGGGAGAUAUGCCCUGGAAGAAGACCUUGGUUUUAGAA